UUCGGGGACGGUGUAAUUCCGUACCGGCGGUAUAGCCCGCGAGCAUUUAUAUUUAUGCUGAUUUGGUGUAAUUCCAAAGCCGACAGUUAAAGUCUGGAUGAGAGAAUAU
RNAcentral lists this non-coding RNA (109 nucleotides) under bovine gut metagenome. Its description in RNAcentral is "FMN riboswitch (RFN element)". It matches the Rfam family "FMN riboswitch aptamer (RFN element)", at positions 8 to 131 of the family's 138-position model. Rfam says of the family: The RFN element is a highly conserved domain that is found frequently in the 5'-untranslated regions of prokaryotic mRNAs that encode for flavin mononucleotide (FMN) biosynthesis and transport proteins. This element is a metabolite-dependent riboswitch that directly binds FMN in the absence of proteins. The record is from RNAcentral.